GGGGUUGUGGCUCAGUGGUAGAGCACUCAUCUGGCAUGUGUGAGGCACUGGGUUCGAUCCUCAGCACCACA
RNAcentral lists this transfer RNA (71 nucleotides) under Marmota monax (woodchuck). RNAcentral describes it as "tRNA.Ala". It matches the Rfam family "tRNA". From Rfam's summary of the family: Transfer RNA (tRNA) molecules are approximately 80 nucleotides in length. Their secondary structure includes four short double-helical elements and three loops (D, anti-codon, and T loops). Lineage: Eukaryota; Metazoa; Chordata; Mammalia; Rodentia; Sciuridae. The record is from RNAcentral.